RNAcentral lists this ribosomal RNA (231 nucleotides) under uncultured Staphylococcus sp. RNAcentral describes it as "partial 16S ribosomal RNA". It matches the Rfam family "Bacterial small subunit ribosomal RNA", at positions 109 to 334 of the family's 1533-position model. Lineage: Bacteria; Bacillati; Bacillota; Bacilli; Caryophanales; Staphylococcaceae. The record is from RNAcentral.
AGUAACACGUGGAUAACCUACCUAUAAGACUGGGAUAACUUCGGGAAACCGGAGCUAAUACCGGAUAAUAUUUUGAACCGCAUGGUUCAAAAGUGAAAGACGGUCUUGCUGUCACUUAUAGAUGGAUCCGCGCUGCAUUAGCUAGUUGGUAAGGUAACGGCUUACCAAGGCAACUAUGCAUAGCCGACCUGAGAGGGUGAUCGGCCACACUGGAACUGAGACACGGUCCAG